AAGCACCCGAAGUGUAUAAUGUUGGGUGUAUUUUUUUCAGUUGGUUAAUGCCAAAACGGGAGUGGCUUCUCUACCUGCAAACCAUCAAAUCAUUCCAAAAUAGAAACCCUGCAUAUCUUCUUUUUUCUUCUUAGUUUUCAACGUGAUUCAACGCUCUGUUUUUUGUAUAUAACACAUACUUCAUACGGAGACGGAAGCCGAGGCCAAGCAAGAUGGACCCGAAAAAGAAGAAAGAAAUUAUUAGAUUGGAACGUGAAUCUGUCAUUCCCGUUCUCAAACCUAAGCUUAUCAUGACUUUGGCCAAUCUCAUUGAGCAUAAUUCUGACCGGGCUGAAUUUCUAAAGCUUUGCAAGAGAGUUGAGUACACAAUUAGAGCGUGGUAUCUUCUCCAAUUUGAGGAUUUCAUGCAACUAUACUCCCUCUUUGACCCUGUAACUGGGGCUGAGAAAUUGAAGCAACAGAACUUAUCUCCUGCCGAGAUUGAUGCACUUGAACAGAAUUUCCUUGCCUACUUAUUUCAGGUGAUGGAUAAGAGUAAUUUCAAAAUAACAACUGAUGAUGAGGUUGAUGUUGCACUUUCAGGGCAGUAUCUUCUAAAUCUUCCCAUCAGUGUUGAUGAGUCUAAGCUUGACGAGAAGCUUUUGAAGAGGUAUUUUGAAGAGCAUCCCCACGAAAACCUUCCAGAUUUUUCUGAUAAGUAUGUUAUCUUUCGACGUGGAAUUGGAAUUGAUCAGACUACUGAUUUCUUUUUCAUGGAGAAAGUGGACAUGCUCAUUGCACGCUUCUGGUCAUUUCUUUUGAGACGAACAAGGCUAGAUAAACUUUUCUUCAGGAGUUCAAGGAGGCGUAAGGACUCAAAGAAGGAUGAUGACAUAAAUUCUGAAGAUAUUCAAGAUGAUCUAUACAUUGAACGGCACUGUCUUGAAAAUAUGGAACUAAGUUUGCGCAAUUUGCUGACCAAGGUUACAAUCCAAGAGCCCACCUUUGAUAGGAUGAUUGUUGUUUACAGGAAAGCAAGUACAAAAUUAAAACCAGAUCGAGGAAUAUAUGUGAAACAUUUUAAAAACAUUCCGAUGGCUGAUAUGGAGAUAGCUCUUCCUGAAAAGAGAAAUCCAGGAUUAACUCCACUGGACUGGGUCACGUUCCUGGUCUCUGCUGUUGUUGGGCUGGUUGCUGUGAUUAGCUCCCUUGAAAUGAAUGAACGUGAUCUUUGGGUCAUUUUUGCUGUCCUUUCCACAGUGAUUGGUUACUGUGCUAAGACAUACUUCACAUUUCAGCAAAACUUGGCUGCAUAUCAGAAUUUAAUCACACAGUCCAUGUAUGACAAACAACUUGAUAGUGGAAAAGGCACUCUUCUUCACUUGUGUGAUGAUGUGAUCCAGCAAGAAGUGAAAGAGGUAAUUAUUUCAUUUUUUAUAUUGAUGGAACAGGGUAAAGCCACAAGGCAGGAUCUGGACAAGUUAUGUGAGGAUCUAAUCAAGGAAGAGUUUGGUGAAAGCUGCAAUUUUGAUGUGGAUGAUGCAGUUCAAAAGUUAGAGAAAUUAGGCAUUAUUUCUCGGGUGAGAUUUCUCCAUUCUCUUUGAAAUAGCAAGCUAAUUUGUUUUAUCUUGUUAGCACUCAGAGUAGGACUAACUGAAUUUUGGCCGUUUCUAUAUUUGCUCACCACCUUGAAAUUAUCAUCCCCUCCUGAGUUCCAACAAUGAUUAGAGUCAUCCCUUGAAGAGAGUUUGUGGCAUGGUGAUGGGAUUUCAAAAUUUUUUAAACAUAUUCCAAAGGGCUUUUCUAUGCCGUCCUUUAGUGGCUGGCAGGAUACGAUUGGUCGGUAUUUCUGUGUUCGGCUGAAACGUGCCAACGAGAUCAUUGGCACCACCACCGAGGAGCUCGUCCUUAAGGCAAAAAUGGGUGGCAGUACAACUUGAUGAUGUCCUAGGAAACUCAUACUAAAUCUUUUUCUAUCUAAAGUGAUUUCGGCAUCUGAAUUCUCAAGGUUGAGGGUCAAAUACAUUAAAGUUGAUAGGCUUUAACAGCACCUUGGACUGUUGAUGGUGCUAAAUUUCUUGUACAUUCAUCAUUUUUGUAAUUUUUAAGGUUAAUUUAUUUUUAUUUAUGUAUAAAAUAUGGGAGAAAUUCAUUAUUUACGUAUAAAAUCAUAAAUGGAUGAAAUAUUGUGAUA
Molecule: RNA transcript, 2173 nt
Organism: Mangifera indica (mango)
Lineage: Eukaryota; Viridiplantae; Streptophyta; Magnoliopsida; Sapindales; Anacardiaceae
Exons: 15
Source: RefSeq, a predicted model, not a curated record